RNAcentral lists this ribosomal RNA (1584 nucleotides) under Radix auricularia. RNAcentral describes it as "bacterial SSU rRNA". The stretch from base 2 to 901 matches the Rfam family "Eukaryotic small subunit ribosomal RNA", at positions 4 to 1116 of the family's 1831-position model. The record is from RNAcentral. Lineage: Eukaryota; Metazoa; Mollusca; Gastropoda; Lymnaeidae.
UCUGGUUGAUCCUGCCAGUAGUCAUAUGCUUGUCUCAAAGAUUAAGCCAUGAAUGUCUAGGUUCACACUGUUUGACGGCGAAACCGCGAAUGGCUCAUUAAAUCAGUCGAGGUUCCUUAGAUGACACGAUCCUAUUUGAAUACCUGUGGCAAUUCUAGAGCUAAUACAUGCUUACCAAGCUCCACCUUUUAUUGGAAAGAGCACUUUUAUUAGUUCAAAACCAAUCGCAGCGUGCUCUUCGUGGGAAGCGCGGUGUCCCCAUUGGUGACUCUGGAUAACUUUGUGCUUUGGGCCUUUGUGCCGGCGACGCAUCUUUCAAAUGUCUGCCUUAUCAAAUGUCGAUGGUACGUGAUAUGCCUACCAUGUUUGUAACGGGUAACGGGGAAUCAGGGUUCGAUUCCGGAGAGGCAGCAUGAGAAACGGCUACCACAUCCAAGGAAGGCAGCAGGCGCGCAACUUACCCACUCCCGGCACGGGGAGGUAGUGCCGAAAAAUAACAAUACGGGACUAUUUCGAGACCCCAUAAUUGGAAUGAGGACACUUAAACCCUUUAACAAGGAUCAAUUGGAGGGCAAGUCAGGUGCCAGUAGCCGCGGAAAUUCCAUCUCCAAUAGCGUAUAUAAAAAUUUUUGCAGUUAAAAAGCUCUUAGUUGGAUCUCGGGUGCAGGUGGGCGGUCCGGCUCGCGCCGGUUCACUGCCCGUAUUGAAAUCCUGUCCUACUUGUCUGCCGGCUCUCUCCCGCGGGUGCUCUUCGCUGAGCGUCCCGGGUGGCUGGUGCGUUUACUUUGAAAAAAUUAGAUUGUACAAAGCAGGCAUUCACAAGCUUGAAUAAAAAUUUUAAAAAAUAAAUAAAAAAGAAUCAGGGCCAGACAAGUUUCACAACAAAUUGCUCAAGCAUCUGGUCAAAACAGGCUGGAUAAAACUACUGAGUUUUAUCAACCGAACCUGCACUACAGGUUCACUGCCGAAACUGUGGAAAGAGGCCAUAAUUACCCCAAUACAUAAGGACAGGAAUCCAGGCGAACAACCGCUAAGAUACCGGCCCAUUUCCUUCACGUCGUGUGUGUGGAAGGUGGCAGAACGAAUAGUGGACGCACGGCUUUAUUGGUACCUCGAAAAUACGAAGAUCAUUCUGAAGGCUCAGGGUGGGUUCCGUAAGGGACGCAACCCGAUGGACCAAGCACUACGCUUAAUUUAGACCAUGAAAAACGAACUCCAGAUAAAGAACCACACUGUUGCGGUGUUCUUCAAUCUAAUGCAGUCAUACGAUAAGGUUUGGCGUGAUAGGCUACUUUAAAAGCUGCAGCAUUUCGGUUUCACUGCAAAAAUGUACAGCUGGAUAAAAUCGUUCCUCAUGGACCGAACGAUUAAGACACGGCUUGAAGAAGCGCUAUCCAGUGAGGCACGACUGGAAGAUGGACUCCCACAGGGUUCAGCGCUUAGCUGUACAUUGUUCUUAACCUACGUCCACGACCUACAAAGCAUUCUCGAGUCCAAGAAUGCCAUGUUUGCUGCCGAUCUGGUGGUAUGGAGUUCAGGAAAAGACGUUGCAACACUGCAGAACCGGCUGCAGAACGAUCUGAA